UGUUCGGGUUGUCAUGCCAAUGGCACUGCCCGGUAGCUAAAUGCGGAAGAGAUAAGUGCUGAAAGCAUCUAAGCACGAAACUUGCCCCGAGAUGAGUUCUCCCUGACCCUUUAAGGGUCCUGAAGGAACGUUGAAGACGACGACGUUGAUAGGCCGGGUGUGUAAGCGCAGCGAUGCGUUGAGCUAACCGGUACUAAUGAACCGUGAGGCUUAACCUUACAACGCCGAAG
RNAcentral lists this ribosomal RNA (230 nucleotides) under Escherichia coli. Its description in RNAcentral is "partial 23S ribosomal RNA". It matches the Rfam family "Bacterial large subunit ribosomal RNA", at positions 2713 to 2925 of the family's 2925-position model. The record is from RNAcentral. Lineage: Bacteria; Pseudomonadati; Pseudomonadota; Gammaproteobacteria; Enterobacterales; Enterobacteriaceae.